This 503-nucleotide ribosomal RNA is filed under the name uncultured bacterium. RNAcentral's name for it is "partial 16S ribosomal RNA". It matches the Rfam family "Bacterial small subunit ribosomal RNA", at positions 28 to 507 of the family's 1533-position model. The record is from RNAcentral.
GACGAACGCUGGCGGCGUGCUUAACACAUGCAAGUCGAACGGUGAAGCGCUUUCCUUUUUGGUUGGUGUGGAUGAGUGGCGAACGGGUGAGUAACACGUGAGUAACCUGCCCCCUUCUUCUGGAUAACCGCAUGAAAGUGUGGCUAAUACGGGAUAUUCUGCGCCUGCUGCAUGGUGGGUGUGGGAAAGAUUGUGCCUUUGGGUGUUUUCGGUGGGGGAUGGGCUCGCGGCCUAUCAGCUUGUUGGUGGGGUGAUGGCCUACCAAGGCGGUGACGGGUAGCCGGCCUGAGAGGGUGGACGGUCACACUGGGACUGAGACACGGCCCAGACUGCUACGGGAGGCAGCAGUGGGGAAUAUUGCACAAUGGGCGCAAGCCUGAUGCAGCGACGCCGCGUGAGGGAUGGAGGCCUUCGGGUUGUGAACCUCUUUCGCCAGUGAAGCAGGCCUGCUCCUUGUGGGUGGGUUGACGGUAGCUGGAUAAGAAGCGCCGGCUAACUACGUG